RNAcentral lists this ribosomal RNA (253 nucleotides) under uncultured bacterium. RNAcentral describes it as "partial 16S ribosomal RNA". It matches the Rfam family "Bacterial small subunit ribosomal RNA", at positions 524 to 776 of the family's 1533-position model. The record is from RNAcentral.
UACGGGGGGGGCAAGCGUUGUUCGGAAUUACUGGGCGUAAAGCGUGCGCAGGCGGUUGUGCAAGACCGAUGUGAAAUCCCCGGGCUUAACCUGGGAAUGGCAUUGGUGACUGCACGGCUAGAGUGUGUCAGAGGGGGGUAGAAUUCCACGUGUAGCAGUGAAAUGCGUAGAUAUGUGGAGGAACACCGAUGGCGAAGGCAGCCCCCUGGGUCAAGACUGACGCUCAUGCACGAAAGCGUGGGGAGCAAACAGG